AGCCUGAACGCUGGCGGCGUGGCUAAGACAUGCAAGUCGUACGGAUGUAGCAAUACAUCAGUGGCGAACGGGAGAGUAAUGAAUCGCUAAUGUGCCCCGGACUCUGGGAUAGCUAGCCGAAAGGUUAGGUAAUACCAGAUGAUAUAACCCUACCGCAUGGCAGGGUUCUCAAAGGUCCGCCGGUCUGGGAGCAGGCGAUUUCGUAUCAGCUAGUUGGUGAGGUAACGGCUCACCAAGGCGACGACGCGUAGCCGGACUGAGAGGUUGGCCGGCCUCAUUGGGACUGAGACACUGCCCAGACUCCUACGGGGGGCUGCAGUAACGAAUCUUCCGCAAUGCACGAAAGUGUGACGGAGCGACGCCGCGUGUGGGACGAAGCCCUUCGGGGUGUAAACCACUGUCAGGGGAUAGAAAGUUCUGAUCAUCCCCAGAGGAAGGCACGGCUAACUCUGCGCCAGCAGCCGCGGU
RNAcentral lists this ribosomal RNA (468 nucleotides) under uncultured bacterium. RNAcentral's name for it is "SSU rRNA". It matches the Rfam family "Bacterial small subunit ribosomal RNA", at positions 26 to 521 of the family's 1533-position model. The record is from RNAcentral.